Molecule: ribosomal RNA, 349 nt
Filed under: Salmonella enterica subsp. enterica serovar Infantis
Lineage: Bacteria; Pseudomonadati; Pseudomonadota; Gammaproteobacteria; Enterobacterales; Enterobacteriaceae
Also listed under: 2 other names
Description: partial 23S ribosomal RNA
Rfam family: Bacterial large subunit ribosomal RNA
Source: RNAcentral
AGACCCGAAACCCGGUGAUCUAGCCAUGGGCAGGUUGAAGGUUGGGUAACACUAACUGGAGGACCGAACCGACUAAUGUUGAAAAAUUAGCGGAUGACCUGUGGCUGGGGGUGAAAGGCCAAUCAAACCGGGAGAUAGCUGGUUCUCCCCGAAAGCUAUUUAGGUAGCGCCUCGUGAAUUCAUCUCCGGGGGUAGAGCACUGUUUCGGCUAGGGGGCCAUCCCGGCUUACCAACCCGAUGCAAACUGCGAAUACCGGAGAAUGUUAUCACGGGAGACACACGGCGGGUGCUAACGUCCGUCGUGAAGAGGGAAACAACCCAGACCGCCAGCUAAGGUCCCAAAGUCAUG